ACAUUUUCAAUUAAUUAACCUAUCUGGCAGUGGCACCGAACACAUGCUAAAAUGUAGUGAUACCAAUAAACGUCCAAACCUGGCAGGACAGAAUAAUCCAAUGUGGUUAAGAGACAACAAAACAUGUAUCGAAAAGUAAAAAAAAUAAAAAAAAAAUAAAAAAUACACAUUACUGCUAGUCCACAAACCGGUUCACGAAUGGAUAAGAAAAAAAUCAAAAUAAAAUUCCCAAAAAAUGGUGGUGACAUAUUUUCGUUAGUUUAAGAUGUUUAAACUCUAAAAAAGUUUAAGUUAGAUGCCAGGAUAAAUAAACUUGGCGGCAAAAAAAAGUUUAUUUUAACCUAAUAAAUAUUGUCCGUAUUCAUUUUAUUAUUUCUAAUGUAUAUAAUUUUUUAAUUAUUUUUAUUUUAAUUAUUUUAUUUUAUUUUUUAUUUAUAUUUAUUUAUUUUUGUAAAAAUAAAAAAUAAAACCAAUUGUUGGGUAAGAUGAAUUGGAGGCUCUGCAGAACUGUAUUUGCAGUAAAGACAAGCAAGAAACUGAUGUUCGGAAUCAGUUUCGGCGCUCUCUGUGAAGCCAAACAGGAAGUAAGAAGCGCAUUUUAUGCCACUUGCAUGAAACGACUCGCCGGUGACGUUUCCAAGCGAUUGCUUGACAAAGAGCUGAACUAGCCACGUCCUCUCAAGUGAUGUCAUUGCUUCUUCACAAGUUGCUCGCUGCGAGGACACGACGUUUGAUGGCAAAAGCGGCCUGAUGUUGGAGAUGCUGACGGCACUUUUAAUCCACACGCGCACGCACACAAUAGGCCGCUAAGUGUGUGUGUGUGUUUGUGUGUGUGUGUGUCUCUUUCUGAUUUGGGUGUGGGCAUUCUGUCAGAUGACAGCCUUGCAAAAAGCAUUGUGGCAGAAAUUGCGCCUCAUCUUCAAAGGCAGCAAUUUGUCUUUGCUCCGCUCGUCAUGUGCGCAUGCCUGGCAAACAAAGCUGUCUACCUACGGUCUUAAACCACCGCCGGAUUUGUGUACUUUACGAUGUUGUCAUGACCGUACUAGCGGACGAGGAAAUGAGACGGAAGGUUGGAUGGAUAGUUUGGGUUUUAGGCUAGUGGAUGGGGUUUGUCAAACGUUUUCUUCACAAAAAUAUGUUCCAUGCGCACUCACCGUUGGCACUGUGAUGUCAUUUUCGCUCGACGGCAACUGGCCGACCCCCUGAGAUGGAUCAAAACGGGUGCGUUUUGCUCCCUACCGAAAGCCGUUGACACUUUCUAAAUGAGUUAAAUGGCUGUUUAAAAUGGUGAGCAUUAGAUAGGGUUCGUUGCAUAUUUCAGGGAAUGGGGAAAGUGCAGCGUAUCAUCUGCCUCGUGUGCACUUUUAUCUUCAUCUCCCGCUGUGAUGUUUCAUUCCUCCUCUCUAUAAUUUUGCCCACCUCGUUUCACUGCCCGCAGCAGGCACUCCCGGUAAUACCCGCCUGUCGACGGCGUGCACCUCUCCUCCUCUUUACGUUUACAUUUUACUCCUGUUGUAACUCAAAUAAGUGUUGCGCCUGACUUGGGGCAGACUCCGCCAUCAGCGGAGGUGACUGACAUUGUUGAUUAAAGGGCUCGUAAAACAGUGCCGGGCACCGGGCUGGGAGAGUAUAUUGAGGAGCUUGUUUAAAUCGAUCCUCUUGUCCCGAUGACUAUCAGCCACGGGGUGUGCGAGUGUCGAGCUCAGCGCGGUCGAGCUCGGAAAUGGGAUCGAUUCGAAUGUAGGGGGUAGGGGGGGUGUAAACUGUGGAAAAUUUUGAUUCUUUGCAAAACUGUACGUGUCAAGAGUUAGUUGGUUGUUAUUCGGGUUUAGUUUAGGCUACGUUAGCGCUCUGGCGUAAGUUGUUGCUGAUUUGUUACAGGAGGUGGAUAACUGAAUUGGUUGCUUACGGAAAAGGUCAUCCAGGUGAUCCAACAUUUAUUGAUCAGUCGUCAUAUUUAUUAUUUUGAAAUUAGUCAACUAGUUGUUUGUUGCAUGACUAUAAUGAGUGUGAACCAGGUCAGAAAAUGAUUGUGAAAUGUUUUAAAUUACGUAUGACAAUUUGAGAUUUCGAUACAGAUUUAGGAUCAUGGACAUUCACGCAGAUGAUUUGCUUUUACGGGCCAUAGAAAAUGACGUGGCGGGCCGCAUCUGGCCCGCGGGCCUUGGCUUUGACACCUGGCGGUUUAGUGGGUAUGGCUUCACUCAUUCACCACCACUGCGGAUAAAACAAUGGCACUUUUUCGACUUCAAGAGCCGUCAAUGGCAUUGUUAAGUUGGGUUUUCAGUGUGUACUAACGAGGGGUUGUGGGUUAGUGGAUCAGGAUUAGUUAAAAGAAGCAGCUUAACAGUCGGCGUUUAUGCCCGGCCGUCGUCAUUAGUCCUUGCGGUUUUCGCUGUGAAAAGCGUGGCUUUCAUCCAAAACUUUCUUGUACAUCUUUUGCCCCUAUGGAGCUCGCGAGAGAGGGGAAGUGGGGGCGAGGCGGUUGGGAAUACGUCGGAAGGCAGGAAGGCCGACUCCAACCAUCACGCUUUCUCCCUCAUCAUAAAGACGAGAAGCCCCCCCCCCCCCCACGUGCAUUCUCCCCGCCUGCAGUUAAUGCACGGACAGCGGAUAGCUCAUUAAGAUUGAUCAUCCCUUGCCCACUUCCUCGCGUGCACAAUGCGACGACGGCUUCAUUAAUCACCCCGAUCUCGGAGAUAAAGCUCGUGAACGUCGGCGGCCCGACCCGCGGCUCUGACAGAUCAGGUUGUACAUGCGUAAUGGCGUCCUGAGAGCGUCCCCUUCCCACCCCGCAUCUGCCCUCUUUUCGACAAGCCACUUUUGCUUCCGUUGACGGGAUCGCGUCACCUUUUGUUGUCUCACCACUCGGUUGCGCUUUGAUUUAUUCUUUUCCUUCCCGCCUCUGACGCCCUGUCGGACUUGUUAGCACCGUCUGUAAGUCCCUCAGAGUUUUGUGUGCGUCCUGACUACCAUGAUGAUCUUGAACGCGCUGUCAUUUUUUUCGAUUUUUGAUUGGGCACUACUUGAGUGAGUUUUGGCUUUUCAUGUUUGAGACCUUGAAAAUAAAUACACCUGUUCCAAGGUGGGUUGAGCACCUCAAAAAAACGCUAUUCCACUAUAUUUAGUUAGCAAAGUGCAAGCGCAAAGUAGAAAACAAGCAAGAAAGAUUUAGAAAUAGCUAGAGUCCAUUUGGCUCCGGGGAGCUUCUUGCCUCCGCCCCCUCGGGAAACUUAACGGAAAAACGAUACGAUCCGUCAUGAAAGCCCAUCAAAUAAAGUUGAUUUCCGGGUCACAAACCGACACGAGGAGACAUUUACAACGCGUGUGAUUCAAGUCGCGUGGCUAUAAACCGAUACGACCUCAUAUUUUCACCGCCCUUGUAUUUGUUUUGCUAGACAGCCAAAAAUAAACAAAGAACUGUAUACAGCACCUUAAAAUAUGAAUGUCCCUGUAGGUGUGUGUUUAUGUAUAUAAAAUUCGAUAGGACUUGAAAAAUCUGUCCAAAAUGCUCUGGAAGCGCUUCCAUUAUGUGAAAACCUGCUCGAAAAGGAGUUUUUGUUCAGACAGGUAAAGAGAAGACUGCGAAACUCUUGAUGUGAGGGCACAAAAGCCCGAGUGAUCAUUCCCAGCUCACAAUGUGAUAUGGCAUGUUUUGAAAUCAAGGUCUCCGAGGGCCGACAAUCAAAACUCAAUAUUUCGCCGUAUUCAACUAAAACCAAGUUUUGAGCCAUUCAGCCUUUUUUUUAAGUCGUAUUCUGAUCAAGUUAAAAUAGAACCGCAACAAGUUAAAGGCUGAAGAAAGACUAGCCGGUAAGCACGGCGGAUGCUACGGGGAAACCUUUUCUGUGGUGCGGCGGAUGUUUCUUCCUAAUGAGAAGGCCUAAUUGCAGCCGACGCUAGCAACACUCCGUUGACGCAGACGCUUUUCGACGGUGUCGGCCGUGCCCGUGUCAAACUUCUGCCCAGAAAACUUUUAAAUGGCUUUGAUAAUGCAUGCAGGACAUCUAAUAAAUACUAAUGACAGGAGCAGACAAUAGCAGGAGUCGCUCCCCCUUUCCAUCUUAUUAUUCCUGGGAGUUAGCAGCAAGGUCGGCACGGGGGAGGGCGGGAAGAUUGAUAGUUUGUCUGCGAUGUAGACGGAUGAUAAUAGGCUCCAGACUGCAAUCGAGACAUCUUAGGUGCGACGGGAAAAUGUUAUCGAACGACGCCGAACGGCAGCGUUAUUGACUUUUCAUUGUGGCGUUUCUGCGAGCGUCACAUGACGAUAUCUUACAGUUGUCGCGGUGUCGAUACUUGAUGCGGUUGCGCGGGGAGUGUAUUGUGUAACGCGUGACGACGCGAUACAUCACAAUGCCGUUAUUUGUCGGUAGCGGAUGUCAUACAGUCGCAAUUUCAUGCUAGUUCAUCCACACGGCAUAGCAACAGACGGUGAGACGUUACAGUAUUGCGAUUGGAACCGAUGCCGGCAGGGUUUAGCGCCACGUCGGUAUUCGUGACUAGCGUAUCGAUACAGUAACAUAACAGAUAACAAUAUGCUUCAUGAACAUUGACGUUUAAUACUGUAAGGAAUAGUUCACCGUAUGUGGGUUAGCGGUUUAGCGCGCUGUUGUUUAUUAGCAUCUCAACGCUCUAAAUGUUGUCUGUCUUCAAAAAAUAAAAUGAAGGUCACAGCUGCUAUAUUUAAACAUGGUCCGAAAAAUCAUGAAAGAGAGACACUAUGUAUUUUUUUUUUUUUUGGCCAAGCGUCGCAUAGCCCCCGCCGCUGACCUUCCCGCUUGAGCCGCUUUGACUUUUAGGAUGUUGCCCGGUAAACACGCGACACAUACGCGGUGACAUUUAUCUUAAAGGGCUCGGCUGACGCGAAAAUGUUGUUAGUGUGUUUGUCUACAUGCCGAAGAGUCGGUGAGAAAUGCGGUGAGUCAUAAACGCGCUACGAGUGUCAAGGGUAUAAAAAUAAAUACAUAAAUAAAUUUAAAAAACUAAGAAACGCUGUGAAAGCAAUUCAUAUAAAUAGCGAUUCAACAACUAAUUUAACAUUUGAAACGUCGGUCUUAAUUAAUAACUCGUUGAUAAUUGUGAGCAUCAUCACUGUUGUUUACAUCUUAGGUCAUGCUUUCUCGCAGCUAAUGUAAUGAGUGCUCGUCAGGGCUUUCAUUAGCGUCCAGUGCAGCACUCGCCUGCGUCCGUCUUUUUCAUUCAAUGACGUGAAGUUCCUAUUUCAACGCCCGAGAAAGCAGGCUGGUAAAAGUCAAGCUGAUCAAGCCAAAUCAAUCAAUCACCGGUACCGUCAAUGUCGUUUGUUCUUCAACGUUGACCUCCGACCGGGCACAAACGAGAUGCGAAAACAUCUACGUGAUCCAAAUCUCGAUUUGAAAUUGUAUCUUGAGCGUCACCCCGCCGUUAGAAACAGACAACUAAUUAAUUCGCUCCCAUCUGAUUAGUGCACUCCCUUUUUUGUCAGUCAAAUUUGCAUUUUAUGGUUUGACUAGUAAUUAAUUCCCAGGAUAUUUUGGCAUUAUGAGCACUAUUUGGGAUCAUGAAAAAAAAAAACUAAAAAAAUUGGGAGCACAAGUGUGUUUUUUUUUUUUUUGCACAAGGGAGAAUGGUGUAAAUAAUCGAGCGAAUUGCCAUUAAGGUGAAAUGAAGCCGUCAAGUCUUUCCACAUUCCUGUAUCUUAAAAAAAAAAACAUGGAUAUAGUGGGGGAAAAAGAGCGUGAAGGUGACGCGUUAGCAUCUAGAAACGUCACACAUCACUUGAGAUGCAGUGCUGCUGCUGCUGC
Molecule: long non-coding RNA, 5783 nt
Organism: Hippocampus zosterae (dwarf seahorse)
Lineage: Eukaryota; Metazoa; Chordata; Actinopteri; Syngnathiformes; Syngnathidae
Exons: 2
Source: RefSeq, a predicted model, not a curated record